This 262-nucleotide ribosomal RNA is filed under the name uncultured archaeon. RNAcentral's name for it is "partial 16S ribosomal RNA". It matches the Rfam family "Archaeal small subunit ribosomal RNA", at positions 718 to 982 of the family's 1478-position model. The record is from RNAcentral.
AGUCACUGACAUUAGAUACCCGGUAGUCCAGGGUGUAAACGCUGCAGACUUGGUGUUGGAGGCCCUUUGGGGGCAUUCAGUGCCGGAGAGAAGUUGUUAAGUCUGCUACUUGGGAGUACGUCCGCAAGGAUGAAACUUAAAGGAAUUGGCGGGGGAGCACCGCAACGGGAGGAGCGUGCGGUUUAAUUGGAUUCAACACCGUAAACUCACCAGGGAAGACUGUUACAUGAAGGCCGAGAUGAAGACUCUGCUAGAUUUUCAG